UUAAUUGAAACCAAAUAGAGGUAUAUUAUUGUUAAUAAUAUCAUUGAAGUUAAUUUUCCAAUUAAA
RNAcentral lists this transfer RNA (66 nucleotides) under Dolichovespula flora. RNAcentral's name for it is "tRNA-Asn". Lineage: Eukaryota; Metazoa; Arthropoda; Insecta; Hymenoptera; Vespidae. The record is from RNAcentral.